AUACAGAUACAAUUUUUUUUAAAUAAAUUUGUUUUACUGAGCUUUUAUUUACAAUGCGUUCACAAUUAAUCUAAAAUUGUAUAACUAGAUUUUCUGUUGAUUGCCUGAUUUAGUUUUAGUGAUAGAAAGUUGCUUAAGGAACUCAUAGAAUAAUAGCUAACAUUGAGAAAAAUCAUUAAACGAAAGGAUUUAGAUGAACAUAUUUGGAAUAAUUAAAUUUUUAUUGCAAGUACAGAAGAGCUUCUUCCAGUUAAAAAAUCAUCCAGUUAGGAGGUUAAGAAAUGUAUUUAGAUUUUUCUUCCUUACACCCUUUUCACAUAACUGAAAUUAGUGAGACUACUUAUAGUUAAGUAUCCCUCAAAACAAAUCUACAUUGCAUUCUUCAAAUAUUUAUUAACAGAAGAUUCCGGUCCUGGUCCAGGACUGCUACCGGAAGAAGAAUCUUCACCCCGUCUUUGAAGAUCCAGGACCUCUUCCGCUAUUUGCCGUCCG
Molecule: long non-coding RNA, 492 nt
Organism: Megachile rotundata (alfalfa leafcutting bee)
Lineage: Eukaryota; Metazoa; Arthropoda; Insecta; Hymenoptera; Megachilidae
Source: RefSeq, a predicted model, not a curated record